CAUAUCCAUAUCCUCAUUUGAUCCUUGUCAAAAGGAUUGGUAGUCCGAGACGCCCAAAUGUGCUGAUGAAUGAUCAUUGUCACAUCAUAUUGGUUGGCGUGGCAUUGGUCGUCCAAUACUAGCCGAUAAAUGAUGAUACUUUUUUUUGGGGGCAUGAGCUCCUCAACUAUAAACUAAUUUGCUGCUUAUGACCACGCUUUUCCAUCAUC
This is a non-coding RNA of Caenorhabditis elegans, 209 nucleotides long. The record is from Ensembl. NCBI's taxonomy places the organism in Eukaryota, Metazoa, Nematoda, Chromadorea, Rhabditida, Rhabditidae.